RNAcentral lists this long non-coding RNA (434 nucleotides) under Cricetulus griseus (Chinese hamster). RNAcentral describes it as "lncRNA (ENSCGRG00015036988.1)". Lineage: Eukaryota; Metazoa; Chordata; Mammalia; Rodentia; Cricetidae. The record is from RNAcentral.
GGGGCAUCUAGCUGGCUUUUCCUAAUAACUCACACAGUCGUCCUCAUCUUGUUUAAGUAUGGCUUACUUCUCUGAGGGUCUUUGAUCCCCUGACUGCAGACACUCUGGCACCAGGGAGCCUUAAAGGUCAAGGAGUGAAGAUACACACAGAGGUUUGGAUGUGGUCUGUUUGCCAAGAGUUCACAUGCCAGGGGCUUGGUCUCCAGUGUGGAAGGCUAAAAGAUUGUAGAGUCUUAAGAAAUGGACUAACAUGCAUGGUUACUACAAGAAAGGUCAUUUGAUUUCAUGGGGCUCUUGGGGCCAUCACAGAGUCUCAGGAGAGUAUUUCCAGAAGGAUGUAACUGAAGAAGGAAGACACACCCGAAAAAUGGAAACGUAUCUCUCGGUGUGCCUAUCAGGGUAUUUCCCCCGAAAGCUUUGAUGGAAGAAGAAAG